UACUGAGGUCCCAAGCGUUGUUCGGAUUCAUUGGGCGUAAAGGGUGCGUAGGUGGCGCUGUAAGUCGGGUGUGAAAUUUCGGAGCUUAACUCCGAAACUGCAUUCGAUACUGCGGUGCUCGAGGACUGGAGAGGAGACUGGAAUUCAUGGUGUAGCAGUGAAAUGCGUAGAGAUCAUGAGGAAGACCAGUGGCGAAGGCGGGUCUCUGGACAGUUCCUGACACUGAGGCACGAGGGCCAGGGGAGCAAACGGG
This 253-nucleotide ribosomal RNA is filed under the name uncultured bacterium. RNAcentral describes it as "partial 16S ribosomal RNA". It matches the Rfam family "Bacterial small subunit ribosomal RNA", at positions 524 to 776 of the family's 1533-position model. The record is from RNAcentral.